UACAGAGGGGGCAAGCGUUGUUCGGAAUUACUGGGCGUAAAGGGCGCGUAGGUGGCCUUCUAAGUUGAACGUGAAAUCCCUGGGCUCAACCCAGGAACUGCGUCCAAGACUGGGAGGCUUGAAUCCGGGAGAGGGAUGCGGAAUUCCAGGUGUAGCGGUGAAAUGCAUAGAUAUCUGGAGGAACACCGGUGGCGAAGGCGGCAUCCUGGACCGGUAUUGACACUGAGGCGCGAAAGCCAGGGGAGCAAACGGG
RNAcentral lists this ribosomal RNA (253 nucleotides) under uncultured bacterium. RNAcentral describes it as "partial 16S ribosomal RNA". It matches the Rfam family "Bacterial small subunit ribosomal RNA", at positions 524 to 776 of the family's 1533-position model. The record is from RNAcentral.